This 504-nucleotide ribosomal RNA is filed under the name uncultured bacterium. Its description in RNAcentral is "bacterial SSU rRNA". It matches the Rfam family "Bacterial small subunit ribosomal RNA", at positions 28 to 500 of the family's 1533-position model. The record is from RNAcentral.
GACGAACGCUGGCGGCGUGCUUAACACAUGCAAGUCGAACGGAGAUUAUUAAUGAAGCUUGCGAUUUAAUAAUCUUAGUGGCGGACGGGUGAGUAACGCGUGGGCAACCUACCCAUAAGCGGGGGAUAACAGUUGGAAACGACUGCUAAUACCGCAUAAGCUAUAGAGGUCGCAUGACCUAAAUAGUAAAGGUGGCAUUUAAAGAUGCUAUCACUUAUGGAUGGGCCCGCGUCUGAUUAGCUAGUUGGUGGGGUAGUGGCCUACCAAGGCAACGAUCAGUAGCCGGCCUGAGAGGGUGGACGGCCACACUGGGACUGAGACACGGCCCAGACUCCUACGGGAGGCAGCAGUGGGGAAUAUUGCGCAAUGGGGGAAACCCGUGACGCAGCGACGCCGCGUGAGCGAAGAAGGCCUUAGGGUCGUAAAGCUCUGUUGUAAGGGACGAAUGUUUAUCUGACGAACAGUCAGAUAAAGUGACGGUACCUUACCAGCAAGCCCGGCUAA